This 478-nucleotide ribosomal RNA is filed under the name uncultured bacterium. RNAcentral's name for it is "partial 16S ribosomal RNA". It matches the Rfam family "Bacterial small subunit ribosomal RNA", at positions 28 to 507 of the family's 1533-position model. The record is from RNAcentral.
GAUGAACGCUGGCGGCGUGCUUAACACAUGCAAGUCGAACGGGAAACCUUUUAUUGAAGCUUCGGCAGAUUUAGCUGGUUUCUAGUGGCGGACGGGUGAGUAACGCGUGGGUAACCUGCCUUAUACAGGGGGAUAACAACCAGAAAUGGUUGCUAAUACCGCAUAAGCGCACAGGACCGCAUGGUCCGGUGUGAAAAACUCCGGUGGUAUAAGAUGGACCCGCGUUGGAUUAGCUAGUUGGCAGGGUAACGGCCUACCAAGGCGACGAUCCAUGGCCGGCCUGAGAGGGUGAACGGCCACAUUGGAACUGAGACACGGACCAGACUGCUAGGGGAGGCAGCAGUGGGGAAUAUUGCACAAGGGGGGAAACCCUGAUGCAGCGACGCGGCGUGAAGGAAGAAGUAUCUCGGUAUGUAAACUUCUAUCAGCAGGGAAGAUAGUGACGGUACCUGACUAAGAAGCCCCGGCUAACUACGUG